Molecule: ribosomal RNA, 466 nt
Filed under: uncultured bacterium
Lineage: Bacteria
Description: partial 16S ribosomal RNA
Rfam family: Bacterial small subunit ribosomal RNA
Source: RNAcentral
ACGAACGCUGGCGGCGUGCUUAACACAUGCAAGUCGAACGGAAAGGCCUCUUUCGGGGGGUACUCGAGUGGCGAACGGGUGAGUAACACGUGAGUAACCUGCCCUUGACUUUGGGAUAACUUCAGGAAACUGGGGCUAAUACCGGAUAGGAGCUCCUGCUGCAUGGCGGGGGUUGGAAAGUUUCGGCGGUUGGGGAUGGACUCGCGGCUUAUCAGCUUGUUGGUGGGGUAGUGGCUUACCAAGGCUUUGACGGGUAGCCGGCCUGAGAGGGUGACCGGCCACAUUGGGACUGAGAUACGGCCCAGACUCCUACGGGAGGCAGCGGUGGGGAAUAUUGCACAAUGGGUGGAAGCCUGAUGCAGCAACGCCGUGUGCGGGAUGACGGCCUUCGGGUUGUAAACCGCUUUCGCUCAUGACGAAGCUUUGUGUGACGGUAGUGGGUAAAGAAGCACCGGCUAACUACGUG